ACGAGUUUUAAUUGUUAAGGUUGGGAGUUGAGCUGGUUAAUCUAAUUAAUAUGUGCUUACCUCUAAUUCGAAACAAGUCCACUCAUUACCUUAACACCAGUGAACUUAUUCAUUACAAACAUUAUUAUUUGUUAUUGGAACGAUUGAUUAUUAAAAAGUUAAUA
RNAcentral lists this unclassified non-coding RNA (164 nucleotides) under soil metagenome. Its description in RNAcentral is "partial internal transcribed spacer 1". The record is from RNAcentral.